AUGAACGCUGGCGGCGUGCCUAAUACAUGCAAGUCGAGCGAACAGACGAGGAGCUUGCUCCUCUGACGUUAGCGGCGGACGGGUGAGUAACCCGUGGAUAACCUACCUAUAAGACUGGGAUAACUUCGGGAAACCGGAGCUAAUACCGGAUAAUAUAUUGAACCGCAUGGUUCAAUAGUGAAAGACGGUUUUGCUGUCACUUAUAGAUGGAUCCGCGCCGCAUUAGCUAGUUGGUAAGGUAACGGCUUACCAAGGCGACGAUGCGUAGCCGACCUGAGAGGGUGAUCGGCCACACUGGAACUGAGACACGGUCCAGACUCCUACGGGAGGCAGCAGUAGGGAAUCUUCCGCAAAGGGCGAAAGCCUGACGGAGCAACGCCGCGUGAGUGAUGAAGGUCUUCGGAUCGUAAAACUCUGUUAUUAGGGAAGAACAAAUGUGUAAGUAACUAUGCACGUCUUGACGGUACCUAAUCAGAAAGCCACGGCUAACUACGUG
This 496-nucleotide ribosomal RNA is filed under the name uncultured bacterium. RNAcentral's name for it is "partial 16S ribosomal RNA". It matches the Rfam family "Bacterial small subunit ribosomal RNA", at positions 29 to 507 of the family's 1533-position model. The record is from RNAcentral.